RNAcentral lists this ribosomal RNA (1059 nucleotides) under uncultured prokaryote. RNAcentral's name for it is "bacterial SSU rRNA". It matches the Rfam family "Bacterial small subunit ribosomal RNA", at positions 408 to 1446 of the family's 1533-position model. The record is from RNAcentral.
AGAGACGUCUUUCGGAUGUUAAAGCACCUUUCAGUCGGAGGAAGGGCUGUAGAUUAAUAAUCUGCAGCUAUUGACGUACCGACAGAUGAGCACCGGCUUAACUCUGGCAGCAAGCGCGGUAAUCAGAAGGGUGCAAGCCGUUAUUCGGAAUUAACUUGGGCGUAAAGCGCGCCGUCAGGUGGUUUGGUCAGUUCGAUAUGUAAAAGCCCGGGCUUCAAACCUGGGAACUGCACUUCAGAACUGAGCAAGCUAGAGUAUUGUUAGAAGGGUGGUGGAAUUUCCUGUGUAGCGGUGAAAUGCGUAGAUAUUGGAAGGAACACCAGUGGCGAAGGCGACCACCUGGACUGAUACUGACCCUGAAGUGCGAAAGCGUUGGGAACAAACAGGAUUAGAUUCCCUGGUAGUUCACGCCGUUAACGAUGUCAACUAGCCGUUGGGAGCCUUGAGCUCUUAGUGGCGCAGCUAACGCAUUAAGUUGACCGCCUGGGGAGUACGGCCGCAAGGUUAAAACUCAAAUGAAUUGACGGGGGCCCGCACCAGCGGUGGAGCAUGUGGUUUAAUUUGAAGCAACGCGAAGAACCUUACCAGGCCUUGACAUCCAAUGAACUUUCCAGAGAUGGAUUGGUGCCUUUGGGAACAUCGAGACCGGUGGCGCAUGGCUGUUGUCAGCUUGUGUCGUGAGAUGUUGGGUUAAGUCCCGUAACGAGCGCAACCCUUGUCCUUAGUUAGCCGCACGUAAUGGUGGGCACUCUAAGGAGACUGCCGGUGACAAACCGGAGGAAGGUGGGGAUGACGUCAAGUCAUCAUGGCCCUUACGGCCUGGGCUACACACGUGCUACAAUGGUCGGUACAGAGGGUUGCCAAGUCGCGAGGUCGAGCUAACCCCAUAAAACCGAUCGUAGUCCGGAUCGCAGUCUGCAACUCGACUGCGUGAAGUCGGAAUCGCUAGUAAUCGCGAAUCAGAAUGUCGCGGUGAAUACGUUCCCGGGCCUUGUACACACCGCCCGUCACACCAUGGGAGUGGGUUGCACCAAGAAGUAGCGUAGUCUAACCUUCGGG